GAACCAUCAGGGUUAAUACCCGUCCUAAUCCCAGGGCUCGGACUGGAGACGCGUCCCACCGCUGGGAGCCCCGGGUCCGAUGCCAAAGACACGGCUCCCACCUGCAGAAGGCCGUCCGAUGAGCGGGAAACAGGCUCACUUGCAGGAAGCCUAUGCUGAUGGGGGGCACAUCCCCUCCCUUAGGACCUCCCAAUCUGAUGGAGGAGGCCCCCCAACACCCAGUCUAAUGUGGGAAGCAGGGCUUCCUUCCUUGGGUCCCCAACGGGAAAGCUGUAAUUGCAGCAGGGCCAGAGCCCCCGGGCUGACAGCUCAGGCACGUCAACAAAGCCCUGCCAGGCAUCUCCUAGGAGCCAGACCCACAGCUGAUCAAUGGACCAGCAAACAGGAAACAGAAAUAGCCCCGAGUUCCCGUUGUGGCUUGGCAGGUUAAGAAUCUGACUAGUAUCCAUAAAGGGUGUGGGUUCCAUCCCUGGCCUCGCACAGUGGGUUAAGGAUCUGGAGUUGCCACAGGCUGCAUGGAGGUCACAGACGCGGCUCAGAUCUGGCGUUGCUGUGGCUGUGGCUGUGGCUGGCUCCUGCAGCUCUGAUUCGACCCUUAGUCUGGGAACUUCCAUAUGUGGCAGGUGCAGCAAAGAAAAGAAAAAAGAAAAGAAAAGGAGCUCACCAAAGACAUCUGAGGUGUGACUACAUGAGUAGAAGGGGCCUUCAGACCCACCCACCCCAGCACCCAAAGCCUGCUCCCCAGGGCUGCCACCUCCCUCGGCACCUCCACACUCCCACGCCUGCACCUGGGCCUAGGCUCCUCCUUCUGUCCAGGACACCUCAGCCUUCCUCAUGCCCCAGACCCAAGCAGGGGGCACCUUCUCCAGGAAGCCUUCCUCAAGACCCCCAGCCUGAGGCAGCUCCGACAUGCCCCCCUGUGACCAGAGCCACACAAUUGUCCCUCCUCGCCCUCCGGUGAGCCUCGCCCUGCAGAUCCCACACUCAGAGCCCCUACCGCCUGCCAGCCCAGGGCCUCACGCCCUUCCUCCCAGAAGCUCAGGCACAGAAAGCAAGGUCCUCCCCCCUCCCCCACGGCCCCUGCAGCCCAGCGUUGCCCCCACGGCUCCAUCCACGCUCCUCUCACCAAGUCACCAGCCACCACCUUCUGCCUAAAUCCCAGGGUCUUUCCUAGGCUCAUCCUCUGCUGGUCCCUGGCUGCUUCUUUGGCUCCCAGAACACAGCCUCCUCAGUUCCCCCCCUCCUUCCUCUCUGCACCGCCCCCCCCCCAGGUAUGGGUGCUCUCCAAAGCCUCAAAUGCCCCAGGCAUCCUCUCUUCAAACGCUAUCCCUUCUCCCUGUGCCAGCAUCCAUGCUCCUUGAGUCAACUGCCACCUCUAACCCAAAGACAUCCAAAUCCCUGCCUCCCACGCCCAUCCCUACCCCCAUUUAGGCAGAAGCUUCUGGACCUCUUCCUCAGCUUCCAGUCUGAUUCCCUAUCAAGCUGCUACCCCCUGCAGGUCUCAUUAGAUGGUCAGCACGAUCACUGUGGCACAGAGGAGGUGGCUCGGAGGCCACUCGGGGUGUGCAGACUCCCGGCCUGUUGUGGCAGACCCCUGACUCAGGACCCCUGGACCUAUGUCAAUGGGAGGCUUCAACCCUUGGCAAGGAGGCCCAAACCUGGAAGGAAGAGUGCUGUGGCAAAGUCUGAAGCCCAGAGGCCGGCCUGGAAUCCAGGAUCAGAGACGACGGGUCAGCCUCAACACUUCCACUCCCAGCAGCCCCAUGAGCCACCCUGGCCAAAGCCACAGGACUUCCCCCAUGUUCCAGCCAACAUGGGUCACAGAGAGCUUAACCGCCAAGAGAGACGACAGCCAAGGUUCACAGAGAGCUGGUGAUUACGUGUCCCCGUCACACCCACCCUCCUUCCCUGCCAAAAAUGAAGGGUUCAUAAACAUCUGUAGGAAAGGAAAU
RNAcentral lists this long non-coding RNA (1952 nucleotides) under Sus scrofa (pig). Its description in RNAcentral is "lncRNA (ENSSSCG00015070513.1)". The record is from RNAcentral. Lineage: Eukaryota; Metazoa; Chordata; Mammalia; Artiodactyla; Suidae.